CCAAUAGCGUAUAUUAAAGUUGUUGCAGUUAAAAAGCUCGUAGUUGAAUUUCGGGAUCAAUUUAUCGGUCGUGCAAUAGUACGUACUGGUUUUAUUGGUUCCUACCUUCUGAUGAACCAUGAUGCCAUUAAUUUGGUGUCAUGGGGAAUCAGGACUGUUACUUUGAAAAAAUUAGAGUGUUUAAAGCAGGCUCACGCUUGAAUACAUUAGCAUGGAAUAA
Molecule: ribosomal RNA, 220 nt
Filed under: uncultured Glomus
Lineage: Eukaryota; Fungi; Glomeromycota; Glomeromycetes; Glomerales; Glomeraceae
Description: partial small subunit ribosomal RNA
Rfam family: Eukaryotic small subunit ribosomal RNA
Source: RNAcentral